GAAACCACCAAGAAGGCGCUCUGAGAAAAGGCAGGAGUCCCAGAAAAUGACAGCUUAAUGCUGACUUCAAGAACUUUCACUUUAACAUCGUUUCAGGUCCCCACGUACGAAGCUCAUCAAGUGACAAAAAUCACACGGGAGGGGAGUCCGCUCCAGCACCGCAUGGAGCCUGCACACCGCAGGAGUGGACAACGACACCAGGGACCGAGGUGGAUGCAGCCCCAGAUGGAUGCAGCCCCAGAUGGAUGCAGCUGAAUGAGGGACCCCAGCAUCUGCAGUGGAUGAACCUCCCAGGAAACCUGCAGAAUCACGAGGAACCAUGAAUCCUGUGCUUUUCCGUAUCUGAGCAUUGGCACGUUUUGUUAAACAUCCAUUGCAUCUCCCAAAGGGCAGGCGUGUCAGGUUUUGAUGAAAUCCAGUUUAUCAAUAUCUCUUUUGUAUGGGUAACGCUUUUGAC
This is a long non-coding RNA of Phyllostomus hastatus (greater spear-nosed bat), 457 nucleotides long. RefSeq lists it as uncharacterized. The transcript has 3 exons. NCBI's taxonomy places the organism in Eukaryota, Metazoa, Chordata, Mammalia, Chiroptera, Phyllostomidae. The record is from RefSeq and is a predicted model, not a curated record.